CCUACGGGAGGCAGCAGUGAGGAAUAUUGGUCAAUGGGCUGACGCCUGAACCAGCCAAGUCGCGUGAGGGAAGACUGCCCUAUGGGUUGUAAACCUCUUUUGUCAGGGAGCAACGCCGGCUACGUGUAGCCGGACUGAGAGUACCUGAAGAAAAAGCAUCGGCUAACUCCGUGCCAGCAGCCGCGGUAAUACGGAGGAUGUGAGCGUUAUCCGGAUUUAUUGGGUUUAAAGGGUGCGUAGGCGGAAUGCCAAGUCAGCGGUAAAAUCGCGGGGCUCAACCUCGCUACGCCGUUGAAACUGGCGGUCUUGAGUGGGCGAGAAGUAUGCGGAAUGCGUGGUGUAGCGGUGAAAUGCAUAGAUAUCACGCAGAACUCCGAUUGCGAAGGCAGCAUACCGGCGCCCAACUGACGCUGAAGCACGAAAGCGUGGGUAUCGAACAGGAUUAGAUACCCGAGUAGUC
Molecule: ribosomal RNA, 460 nt
Filed under: uncultured bacterium
Lineage: Bacteria
Description: partial 16S ribosomal RNA
Rfam family: Bacterial small subunit ribosomal RNA
Source: RNAcentral